AAUAAGUGCUGUUCAAGUCCAAUGUCUGACCGUUCGUCUUAUUUGGAAAAAAAUAUGAUUAGUAUUUUAUUGUUAUUAGAUGAUAAAAUAUGAAUAGUACUCCAUGUGUGACUAUUUUUUUUUAAUUUUUUUCAUAAAUUUUUCAAAUAAGACGGACGAUCAAAACACUGGACACGGAUAUCUAUGGAUGCACCUAUU
Molecule: non-coding RNA, 198 nt
Organism: Oryza glumipatula
Lineage: Eukaryota; Viridiplantae; Streptophyta; Magnoliopsida; Poales; Poaceae
Source: Rfam